UACGUAGGGUGCGAGCGUUAAUCGGAAUUACUGGGCGUAAAGCGUGCGCAGGCGGUUUGUUAAGACAGAUGUGAAAUCCCCGGGCUUAACCUGGGAACUGCAUUUGUGACUGGCAAGCUAGAGUAUGGCAGAGGGGGGUAGAAUUCCACGUGUAGCAGCGAAAUGCGUAGAGAUGUGGAGGAACACCGAUGGCGAAGGCAGCCCCCUGGGCCAAUACUGACGCUCAUGCACGAAAGCGUGGGGAGCAAACAGG
Molecule: ribosomal RNA, 253 nt
Filed under: uncultured bacterium
Lineage: Bacteria
Description: partial 16S ribosomal RNA
Rfam family: Bacterial small subunit ribosomal RNA
Source: RNAcentral